Molecule: RNA transcript, 4269 nt
Organism: Panicum virgatum (switchgrass)
Lineage: Eukaryota; Viridiplantae; Streptophyta; Magnoliopsida; Poales; Poaceae
Gene name: translation initiation factor IF-2-like
Exons: 5
Source: RefSeq, a predicted model, not a curated record
GCCCCUCGGACGCCCGCGCCCCGUGUUCGAAUCCAAUUCCAAUUCCGUGCGGAAUCUGGCGUCGCUUCUUCUUCCUCCCGGCGAACGCCUUCCAAUUCCGGCGCCCCGCCUCUGGCUCCCCCGCAGCCUCGCCGCCUCCGGCCGUGGCCGCCACCGAGACCACCGCAGCAGACUCGACGACCUCCGCAACAAUCCCCUGCGCCGACUGCGGGCCACGCCUCCAUGCUUGACAACAGCCGACGCCGGACAACGCCUCUCCCUCCUCCGCUCCGGCCGCCUCCUUCCCUCCUCGUCCUCCAGAUCCGGCGAGGGAAAAGGGGUGGGGGCCACCCUGUCCACGCUCGCGACGCCUCCCUCGAGCUCCUCCCGACCCUAACACUAGGCGCCGCCUCCGCACCGCCGCCGUGCUUGUCGGCUGGAUCCACGCCGGCGCACGGCGGCCGCGGCACCGCGGCGGAUGGGGGCUUGCCCGGCCCUGAGACGCGGGGGCGGAGCUGGGCGUGGGAGGGCGUGAGACGGGGAUGCGGCCGGCGCUGAGCCGCCGACUCUCCUCUCUUUUUCCUUUUUUUCCUCCCCUCCAUUCUUUUUUUCUCACCGAGACCAUCGGCAUCGCGGGCACUAAGGCUGGCGCCCAGAUCUCCUGCGCUGCCAUCUCCCCCUCCCUCCACGCUCGCGCGCGCCGCCCGCCACGGCCGCCCGCGCCAGGCACCACCGCACGCUCCGGCGUACCCGCGGCGGCAACUCCUUGCUGGCCCGCGCCGCUCGCCGCGGCCGCCCUCGCCCGCGCCAAGUGCCACCGCGCGCUCCGGCGUACGCGCGGGGAGCGCCGCUCGCCCGUGCCGGGCGGCGCGGAGGCUGAAGCGGUCGAGCGCGAGCUGGUGCCAGCACCGCGCAUAACGCGUGGAGGGGCGCGCCGAGCACCAACGGGCCCACCUUGGCCUCCCCUCUCUUUUCCUUCUUCAACCAGCGGCAGCGCGUCCUUCGGCUUCGGCUUCGACUCUGGCGCUCCUCCGCCGCCCCGCCGCCGGCCCGUCGACCAGUACGUGUCCCAGAGAUGCGGACUCCGCCGCCGUCCCCGAAGGCGCGGACGCCGCCGGAGACGCGGCCGCCGCCGCCGUCCUCGGAGAAGCGCACGCAACUGCCCGUCGACCAGUACUUGUCGCCAGAGACGCGGACGUCACCGUCGUCCCCGGAGAUGCGUCCCCAGAAGCGCGGACACCGCUGACGUCGUCGAUGGCACGCCGUCGCCCGCCGACGAGUCGACCAGUGUAGAAAUUGUUCGGACAAGGUGAAACUAUUGAGAGCGCAAUAACUUUUUUUCUCCUCUGUAAGAAAUUUGUGUCCUAAUCUCUUUGUCGGUAGAAUUGCAGAUUUUCAGCUCCUCUGGGACAAGUCAAUUUGUCUUGACUCUCAGAGGUGACAGAGAGGCGGACAUGGGCGCGACGCUGCGGGAAUUUGAUAUAUGUGCUAUAUAAUGUCAGGGACAAGUCAAUGUGUCUCUUGAGCUGCUCCAUGUGUUGCAAUUAAAUUAUACUUGGUGGCCAAUAUUUCAUCAGUACUCUUUGAGAUGUUUAAUUACAAUCUUACAAUGCCAGAGGUAAUGCCAUAUUUCAUCAUUCCUAAAUAUUUCAUCAGUUCUUGCCUAGGUGUUUAAUUUAUGUUCAUGUUUGUUGACGGUGAGUUAUACUACAACAGCAGCUUUCCCAAUUUAAGGUAAUUUGAGAUGUUAACUUAUUUUGCCCAUAGCUAUCUGAUUGCCUCUUGAUUUACUUAUGAUUGGGAUUUGGAGAUGGUGGAAGGUGGAGUCCUGGGAAGAGUUUGUGACUUUCUCUAGGCAAAGAUAAUGAGCUGUGCUAUGCUUGCAGUGAUAUAUGAUAGGGAAAAAUGUGCUUGCAUUCAUGGUUAAUAAACGAUCUUUCAUUUGUAGGGACAUGAAUAGUUUAAACAAAUAGUAUAUCAUCUUAUCGACGCAGUUUUCAUGGUUACAAUAAUAGUUGGUGUUACAUCUAUAAUUCUCAGUAAGCAGUUUAAUCUAUAUAUCUUAUAUAGAUAGCACCCACUAACUAUUUAUCUCUUCAUGCAAAGUGUCCACCUCAUUCUCCACUAAGUGUCCCACUAACUUUCGACAUGUCAUCUCUACAAUAUGCAAUACUUUUAAUCAUAUACAUACUCUAUUUUUUCAUCACCUAUUCUUCUAUAAUGUGAUCAAAUAUUCUAUUGGUGUUUCUUCUUUUAGCUCAUCGAUUUUUACGAGAUUCAAUAAACAAGAAAAUGUCCAUAUGACCUCUACUAUGUGCAAUACUUUUAAUCUUUAAUCUAUUAAUGUAAAGUCAUAUACAUACUCUAUUUUUGCAAUACUUUUAAUGUUUAAUCUAUUAACGUAAAGACCUAUAUACAUACUCUAUUUCUUUGAGCACCUAUUCUUUUAUAAUGUGAUCAAAUAUUCUAUUGAUGUUACUUCUGUUAGUUUAUCGAUUUCUACCAGAUCCUGAUAAAAAAUAACAUGCAAGUAAAAUUCAUAUCACCUAUAUAGCCUAUAUAGAUGACACCCACUAAAGUCAUUAACUCUAUUUCUCUUAACAUGCAAGUUAUCCGGAUCAUAUAGGAACCCAUUAUAUCAAAUGUCACAUCAACGUCCACUAGAGCCAUCUAUUUAUGUUUUCCAUCAUUUUUUUGUGAAUGUUGCCAUGCAAUCAUCUUAAUUUUUCUACUUUCAAAUUUCACGUUAAAAUUUUAUUUAAGAAAUCCCGCAGCAACGCGCGGGGUAUCACCUAGUGAGGAUUUAGAUGCCUUCACCUGACCUGGUAUGUUUCUAGAAAUUAAGACAAAUAUAUAAUUUUGCAGUGCUAUAAGAAAUGCUUUGCUGUGAUAGAAUUUUUUUACUUUCUGUCAGUAGUCUUGGCUAUGUUUGAGUAAAUCAAAAUAGUAUGAAAAAACAGACCCUAUUUCUUAAUAGCUGUGGAGACGCUAUCUUUGCAGGAGGUACAUCCUUGGCUGCUAUCAGCACUUAUUGGCUUUCUGGCUUGCACGCAUAGUACUACUUCCAUUGUUCAUGACUUCAUUGAACAAGGGUUCAAAGGGGACAAACUUCUAUAUAGACUAGGCUUUAGGGUCGAAUAAUGCAUCUUCCUGAUUUGCUGCAUUAUUCAAAUCAUCAGGAUGAAUGGUUAAAUUUCCCUAAUAUGUGUACAGCAGAGCUAGCACGCCUCGAUUGGCAUCAUGGAAAAGGACAGACCCAGUGCUGGUGAUUGGCAUCAUGGAGCUUUCAAAAAUUGCCCCACAAUCCAAAGUUUGUGGCUUCUAGAGUAUCUAAUAUAACUUAAGCUUCUACAGUAUCUUUUAUGCAAUAGUAACAUCAUAAGAAUUUGGUAAUGAGGUCUCACCGAUGCAUUUUGUUUUUAGUAGACAUAGGCAUGAUUCAUCAUGAUCUUCCACAUUAGGAACUUGGGUAUCUGUUGAAAAGUUUUUUGUGGAACACACACUUUGCCAUUCGUCAACUUUUAUUGACUUCUAUGGGAACAACAAUACUAUCUGAACCUUAGGUAUCACAGGUUCACUUGGUGAUGCAUGCCAUUGUGAAUGUUAUUCUAUGCUUUUAGCUACAAAGGGCACACUUUGCCAUUCUGUGCUUUUAGCUACAACCACUAAAAAAUAUUGUAGCUAGAUAAAUUAAUUCCCUCAGUUGUUUCACCAUGUCUUUCAGAUUUUUAUAUGGUUUUCUCUGAAUAACAGCAAAUUGCAUAACUAACUGUUUUCUAAGUUCUGGUUAUAUUAAGAAUAUCUUUUUAUGGCUUUGCUGUCCUGUAUAUCCUAUUGAGAUCACAAGCUUCAAGACACUAUUGAUGAAUACAUGGACACCUUGAUUUGGCAAGGAAAAAAGAUUAGUCACGGAUGGGAACCUUGCAUCGAGAGGGAAACAUUUUUGUGAUUGAAAAAAAUUGGGGCUGGUUCAUUUUGUCGAGGAGAUUACUUGUGGUGGUUGCAAAUUCAUUUUUUCAGAAAAUUCAUUAGGCAUAGGGAGGUAGAUUGGUUUGUUCACAUGAGACUGAAGUUUGAUAUAUAUGUAUGGAGCUUUGCUUUGCAGAGGCAGAUGGCCCUCAAUUGAGUUGUAGUGUAGAGUUGGGAACUAUAUUUGUGAAAAUUUUGUUUGUGUGAAAAGUGUCCAUAUAUAAGUGUGAGAUGAAUUUCAGAUUACCUGUUAUGGAUGAAACAUUGGUAUGGUUUUGAGUAGUCCAGAGUUAUACUGAGCUGAGAAGUUUUAGUUGUUUA